RNAcentral lists this ribosomal RNA (404 nucleotides) under Verrucomicrobiota bacterium. RNAcentral describes it as "Verrucomicrobia bacterium partial 16S ribosomal RNA". It matches the Rfam family "Bacterial small subunit ribosomal RNA", at positions 355 to 776 of the family's 1533-position model. Lineage: Bacteria; Pseudomonadati; Verrucomicrobiota. The record is from RNAcentral.
UGGGGAAUAUUGCACAAUGGGCGCAAGCCUGAUGCAGCAACGCCGCGUGAACGAUGAAGGUCUUCGGAUCGUAAAGUUCUGUUGCAGGGGAAGAUAAUGACGGUACCCUGUGAGGAAGCCCUGGCUAAAUACGUGCCAGCAGCCGCGGUAAUACGUAGGGGGCUAGCGUUGUCCGGAAUCACUGGGCGUAAAGGGUUCGCAGGCGGAAUAACAAGUCAGAUGUGAAAGGCAUGGGCUCAACCCAUGUAAGCAUUUGAAACUGUAAUUCUUGAGAAGUGGAGAGGUAAGUGGAAUUCCUAGUGUAGCGGUGAAAUGCGUAGAUAUUAGGAGGAAUACCUGUGGCGAAGGCGACUUACUGGACACAAAUCUGACGCUGAGGAACGAAAGCGUGGGUAGCAAACAGG